UACGGAGGGUGCAAGCGUUAUCCGGAAUCACUGGGUUUAAAGGGUGCGUAGGCGGCUAAAUAAGUCAGAGGUGAAAGCUUGCAGCUUAACUGCGAAAUUGCCUUUGAUACUGUAUAGCUUGAAAGGAGCUGAGGUCAGCAGAAUGUGGCAUGUAGCGGUGAAAUGCAUAGAUAUGCCAUAGAAUACCAAUUGCGAAGGCAGCUGGCGGGGCUUACUGUGACGUUGAGGCACGAAAGCGUGGGGAUCGAACAGG
Molecule: ribosomal RNA, 253 nt
Filed under: uncultured bacterium
Lineage: Bacteria
Description: partial 16S ribosomal RNA
Rfam family: Bacterial small subunit ribosomal RNA
Source: RNAcentral